GUUGUAUAAGCAUUGGCACAUCUCAUUUCCAUGGAGAAUAUUUGGUCUCGCUCCACAGUCACAGUCUAAUGACUUUGAAACUUAUCUUAGUUUAUAUGCAUUGUUUGUGAUUAAAUCAGUUUAAGAUGAACCGCUAAUGUUAAAUCAAUGAUAUUUCAUAUGCAAAUUUGCAAGUAUUGUUUCCAUGAAGAUUAUAUAGCCCCACCCCCUCG
Molecule: long non-coding RNA, 212 nt
Filed under: Mytilus galloprovincialis (Mediterranean mussel)
Lineage: Eukaryota; Metazoa; Mollusca; Bivalvia; Mytilida; Mytilidae
Source: RNAcentral